CCUACGGGUGGCAGCAGUAAGGGAUAUUGGUCAAUGGGGGAAACCCUGAACCAGCAACGCCGCGUGAGGGAAGACGGUUUUCGGAUUGUAAACCUCUGUUCUCUGUGAAGAUGAUGACGGUAGCAGAGGAGGAAGCUCCGGCUAACUACGUGCCAGCAGCCGGGGGAAUACGUAGGGAGCGAGCGUUGUCCGGAUUUACUGGGUGUAAAGGGUGCGUAGGCGGCUUGGCAAGUCAGUAGUGAAAUGCAUGGGCGUAACCCAGGAACGGCUGGUGAAACUGUCGAUCUUGAGUGAGGUAGAGGUAGGCGGAAUGCGCGGUGUAGCGGGGAAAUGAAUAGAGAGCGGGAGGAA
RNAcentral lists this ribosomal RNA (351 nucleotides) under uncultured bacterium. RNAcentral describes it as "partial 16S ribosomal RNA". It matches the Rfam family "Bacterial small subunit ribosomal RNA", at positions 338 to 706 of the family's 1533-position model. The record is from RNAcentral.